This 203-nucleotide microRNA precursor is filed under the name Oryza brachyantha (malo sina). RNAcentral's name for it is "MIR812 microRNA precursor family". It matches the Rfam family "MIR812 microRNA precursor family". The record is from Rfam by way of RNAcentral. Lineage: Eukaryota; Viridiplantae; Streptophyta; Magnoliopsida; Poales; Poaceae.
CUCAAAAUAAACCAAUCUUUCAUUAUACAUGUUUGACUCUUCGUCUUAUUAAAAGAAUUUUGCGAUUAACAUUUUUAUUUUUAUUAGAUGAUAAAUCAUGAAUAUUACUCUACAUGUGAUUAAUUUUUUUUAAUUUCUUAAAAAUAUUUUAAAUAAGACAGAUGGUCAAAUGUUUGGUACGAAAACCAAAAGUUUGGUUUAUU